AUUGAACGCUGGCGGAAUGCUUUACACAUGCAAGUCGAACGGUAGAGGGGGCAACCCCUCGAGAGUGGCGAACGGGUGAGUAAUAUAUCGGAACGUGCCCAGUCGUGGGGGAUAACGUAGCGAAAGUUACGCUAAUACCGCAUACGAUCUACGGAUGAAAGCGGGGGAUCGCAAGACCUCGCGCGAUUGGAGCGGCCGAUAUCAGAUUAGGUAGUUGGUGGGGUAAAGGCUCACCAAGCCAACGAUCUGUAGCUGGUCUGAGAGGACGACCAGCCACACUGGAACUGAGACACGGUCCAGACUCCUACGGGAGGCAGCAGUGGGGAAUUUUGGACAAUGGACGCAAGUCUGAUCCAGCCAUUCCGCGUGCAGGAUGAAGGCCCUCGGGUUGUAAACUGCUUUUGUACGGAACGAAAAGGUUUCUAUUAAUACUAGGAGCUCAUGACGGUACCGUAGGAAUAAGCACCGGCUAACUACGUGCCAGCAGCCGC
RNAcentral lists this ribosomal RNA (491 nucleotides) under uncultured bacterium. RNAcentral's name for it is "bacterial SSU rRNA". It matches the Rfam family "Bacterial small subunit ribosomal RNA", at positions 30 to 518 of the family's 1533-position model. The record is from RNAcentral.